UACAGAGGGUGCGAGCGUUGUUCGGAAUUAUUGGGCGUAAAGGGCGCGUAGGCGGUGCGGUAAGUCAGCUGUGAAAUCUCCUGGCUCAACUGGGAGCUUGCAGGCGAAACUGCCGUGCUGGAGUGUGGGAGAGGUGCGUGGAAUUCCUGGUGUAGCGGUGAAAUGCGUAGAUAUCAGGAGGAACACCGGUGGUGUAGACGGCUUUCUGGACCGUAACUGACGCUGAAACACGAAAGCGUGGGUAGCAAACAGG
This 253-nucleotide ribosomal RNA is filed under the name uncultured bacterium. RNAcentral describes it as "partial 16S ribosomal RNA". It matches the Rfam family "Bacterial small subunit ribosomal RNA", at positions 524 to 776 of the family's 1533-position model. The record is from RNAcentral.